GGUUCCCUGCAUGGAGCCUGCUUCUCCUUCUGCCUAUGUCUCUGCAUCUCUCUCUUUCUCUCUUUGUGUCUCUCAUGAAUAAAUAAAUAAAAUCUUAAAAAAAAAAAAAAAGAAUAAAUAGCAGACCUGGCAUAACAAUUCAGGACAUCCAGAACUUUCUGUCCUAUCAUCAUUUUAGAACAGGUCCGUUAACCUGUCUCUUAAAUUAGAUAGAUUUCUGACCACUUUCUGGCCCCUCUGCCUCAGGCUUGAAACUGCAGCGUCUGCCCCGUGCCAGGUAGCUUGGACUUGGUAUCUCUGUUUUCCCUCCUGAAGAGGCUCCAACAGUGACCCCAUCCACUUCCUGGGACAAGACUACAUGCUGCAAAGGAAAGGACUGAAAUAGAUAGGAUUGCUGUAGAGUUGGUGUUUGUGGCUCCCUACCCCCAGGAAUUCAUCACUGGAAACCUAAUCCCCAAAGUGAUGGUAUUAGGAGGUUGGGACUUUUGGGCCGUGACUAGGUCAUCAAGGCAGAGCCCUCAUGAAAGGGAUUAGGGCCUUUAUAGAAGAGACCCCAGAGAACAUGGAGAGAAGGUAGACAUCUAUGCACCAGGAAGUGGACCCUUGCCAGACACCAUAUCUGCUGGCACCUUGUUCUUGAGCUUCCCCAUCUCCAGAACCAAAAAGUCAAAGGUUAUGGUUUAAGCCACCUGGUCUGUGGGAUUUUUGUUAGAGCAGCCCAAAUGGACUAAGACGAGGGUGAACUAACUUUCAUGGUAGAUUGUAUUAUUGUUCAAAAGGUCUACUAGCCUUCCUUGAAUGCCCCUCCCUGAGGACCUGUGGAAGAGCAUAUGCCUGCCCUGUUGGACCCGGGGCGGGGGGAGUGUGACAGUGGCCUGGCACCAUCUGUAAGAGCCUGUGGGUGGGCCAUUGUCUCUUCUCUCCAUUCCAGAGACCUGCAGUGUUCAGGUAGAGAUUGUCCAUCUGGGUCCUGGAGUGAAGAUGGGGGGCAGAGGAGCAGCCAGCCACAACAGAAAUAAGCAGGAGUGAGAAAUUAUCGCUUGUUGUUGGAAACUGGUUUAGGAUAAGUCCUAAGAAGUGGGAUUGCCGAAUCUGAGGAGUCCUUUGAAUACACAGUGCCAAACUACCCUCUAGGAAGCCUGCUUGUUCACUCCCUGACCAGUGUUCAUUUCUCUGUAAUCUUGUCAAUAGCAAGCAUGAUCGACUUGUCCAGAUGAUCCCAAUCUGAAGAGCACUCAACCCUAGUUUCAUUAUCAGCUAACCGGCUGCCAUCCUAACUUGGCAACUCUUCUGUCCAUCAGAUCACUCUCAAGUCAGGGUGUCAAGUGGAUACAAUCUCUGAGACGACCAGGUAGAAGGCCAAGCAGGAAAUGUUGCCCCUGGAUUUUAGAUACCCUCUGGAUUUCUCUUAUGCAGAGCCCCUCCCUCCUAUAUUGCCCUCUCUGCUUUCCUUUCUUUUCCCUAAGGAGAUUUUUAAAGCCACUUAAAAAAAAUAUUACACAAACAACAUCAGAAACAUUGGAAUUCUAAAUGAAAAAGAAAAAAAAAAAUCCCCACCAAUCAAUGGCCCCAAGGAAUUCAGUGUUUUUUAUUGGCCUGUGUUCCUUUGCAACCCUCAUCCAAAUGCAUGCAAGAUUUUUGCCUGCACAGAUCUCAUUUUGCAUCUGCCCCUUUGGCCUCCUGUUGGGUCAUAAGCAUCGUUCCACGUUGUUACAUGGUUGUCCUCUUUCUCAUUUUAAUUGUUGUACAAUGUUCCAAUGGGUAAGUAAUUUAAUAAUUAUUAAAGUUAAUAAUUUAAUUAACUUUUCCGUUUUCCUCUACUAUAAAUCAUGCUGCAGCGCAUGCUUUUAUGAAUUUAGCUUCUUUCAUUUGAAUUAUUUCCUUAGGUCAAUUCCCAAGAGUAAGAUGGUUGGGUCAAAGGUUGAGAAUGCUCUAAUGAUUCUUGGUGUGAACUGUUAGAGUUUUCCAGAAGAGUUUUCUUUUUUUCUUUUCCUGCUCAAAAAAUAAUAAUGCUCUUUUUCAACCAUAGAGAAGAAAGCAAAAAUUCUACUACCCAGAAGUUACCACUACUAACAUUUGGACAACCAGCCCUCCAAACGUCUUGAUGCAUAUGUAUACAUAUAGAUGUAGAAAUAAAAAUAAUUUCUCACUAAA
Long non-coding RNA from Canis lupus familiaris (dog), 2154 nucleotides. RefSeq lists it as uncharacterized. The transcript has 2 exons. NCBI's taxonomy places the organism in Eukaryota, Metazoa, Chordata, Mammalia, Carnivora, Canidae. The record is from RefSeq and is a predicted model, not a curated record.